AACGAACGCUGGCGGCGUGCCUAACACAUGCAAGUCGAACGAGAAUGCAGGCUUCGGUCUGCUAGUAAAGUGGCGCACGGGUGAGUAACACGUGGAUAACGUACAUUGUAGUGGGGGAUAAUUAGGUGAAAGCUUGGCUAAUACCGCAUGAGUCUGUCGGGACGCAGGUUUUGACAGGGAAAGUGAGCAAUCACGCUACGAGAUCGGUCCGCGGCCCAUUAGCUAGUUGGCGGGGUAAUGGCCCACCAAGGCGACGAUGGGUAGCUGGUCUGAGAGGAUGAUCAGCCACACUGGGACUGAGACACGGCCCAGACUCCUACGGGAGGCAGCAGUGGGGAAUGUUGGACAAUGGGCGAAAGCCUGAUCCAGCAAUGCCGCGUGAGUGAUGAAGGCCUUAGGGUUGUAAAGCUCUUUUACCAGGGAUGAUAAUGACAGUACCUGGAGAAUAAGCUCCGGCUAACUCCGUGCCAGCAGCCGCGGUAAU
RNAcentral lists this ribosomal RNA (484 nucleotides) under uncultured bacterium. RNAcentral's name for it is "partial 16S ribosomal RNA". It matches the Rfam family "Bacterial small subunit ribosomal RNA", at positions 29 to 524 of the family's 1533-position model. The record is from RNAcentral.